RNAcentral lists this ribosomal RNA (506 nucleotides) under uncultured bacterium. RNAcentral describes it as "partial 16S ribosomal RNA". It matches the Rfam family "Bacterial small subunit ribosomal RNA", at positions 29 to 523 of the family's 1533-position model. The record is from RNAcentral.
AUUGAACGCUGGCGGCAGGCCUAACACAUGCAAGUCGAACGGCAGCGGGGGGUAGCUUGCUACCCCGCCGGCGAGUGGCGGACGGGUGAGUAAUGCCUGGGGAGCUGCCCAAUCGAGGGGGAUACCAGUUGGAAACGACUGCUAAUACCGCAUACGCCCUGAGGGGGAAAGGUGGGGAUCUUCGGACCUACCGCGAUUGGAUGCACCCAGGUGGGAUUAGCUAGUUGGUGAGGUAACGGCUCACCAAGGCGACGAUCUCUAGCUGGUCUGAGAGGAGGACCAGCCACACGGGAAAUGAGACACGGUCCAGACUCCUACGGGAGGCAGCAGUGGGGAAUAUUGCACAAUGGGGGAAACCCUGAUGCAGCCAUGCCGCGUGUGUGAAGAAGGCCUUCGGGUUGUAAAGCACUUUCAGCGAGGAGGAAAGGGGUGAUGCUAAUACCAUCAUCCUGUGACGUUACUCGCAGAAGAAGCACCGGCUAACUCCGUGCCAGCCGCCGCAGUAA